GUGGCCAUAGCUCAAUGGUAGAGCAGUGGCCUGUGGAGCCACUGAUACGGGUCCGAUCCCCGUUGGCCACCCCC
RNAcentral lists this transfer RNA (74 nucleotides) under Patescibacteria group bacterium. RNAcentral describes it as "tRNA-His". It matches the Rfam family "tRNA". From Rfam's summary of the family: Transfer RNA (tRNA) molecules are approximately 80 nucleotides in length. Their secondary structure includes four short double-helical elements and three loops (D, anti-codon, and T loops). The record is from RNAcentral.